UACGGAGGGAGCUAGCGUUAUUCGGAAUUACUGGGCGUAAAGCGCACGUAGGCGGCUUUGUAGGUUAGAGGUGAAAGCCUGGAGCUCAACUCCAGAACUGCCUUUAAGACUGCAUCGCUUGAAUCCAGGAGAGGUGAGUGGAAUUCCGAGUGUAGAGGUGAAAUUCGUAGAUAUUCGCAAGAACACCAGUGGCGAAGGCGGCUCACUGGCCCGGUACUGACGCUGAGGUGCGAAAGCGUGGGGAGCAAACAGG
This 253-nucleotide ribosomal RNA is filed under the name uncultured bacterium. RNAcentral describes it as "partial 16S ribosomal RNA". It matches the Rfam family "Bacterial small subunit ribosomal RNA", at positions 524 to 776 of the family's 1533-position model. The record is from RNAcentral.